UGCGAAGGGGGCUAGCGUUGCUCGGAAUUACUGGGCGUAAAGCGCGCGCAGGCGGCUCGUCAAGUCUGGCGUGAAAGCCCCCGGCUCAACCGGGGAGGGUCGUCGGAGACUGGCGAGCUUGAGGGCGGUAGGGGCUGGUGGAAUUCCCGGUGUAGUGGUGAAAUGCGUAGAGAUCGGGAGGAACACCCGUGGCGAAGGCGGCCAGCUGGGCCGUCCCUGACGCUGAGGCGCGAAGGCGUGGGGAGCGAACGGG
RNAcentral lists this ribosomal RNA (253 nucleotides) under uncultured bacterium. Its description in RNAcentral is "partial 16S ribosomal RNA". It matches the Rfam family "Bacterial small subunit ribosomal RNA", at positions 524 to 776 of the family's 1533-position model. The record is from RNAcentral.